Molecule: ribosomal RNA, 460 nt
Filed under: uncultured bacterium
Lineage: Bacteria
Description: partial 16S ribosomal RNA
Rfam family: Bacterial small subunit ribosomal RNA
Source: RNAcentral
CCUACGGGAGGCAGCAGUGAGGAAUAUUGGUCAAUGGCCGCGAGUCUGAACCAGCCAAGUAGCGUGAAGGAUGACUGCCCUAUGGGUUGUAAACUUCUUUUAUCAAGGAGUAAAACGAGCCACGUGUGCCUUUUUGCAAGUACUUUAUGAAUAAGCAUCGGCUAACUCCGUGCCAGCAGCCGCGGUAAUACGGAGGAUCCGAGCGUUAUCCGGAUUUAUUGGGUUUAAAGGGUGCGGAGAUGGGUUGUUAAGUCAGUUGUUAAAAUUUGGGGCUCAACCCUAAAGUUGCAAUUGAUACUGGCAGUCUUGAGUACAGGUGAGGUAUGCGGAAUUCGUGGUGUAGCGGUGAAAUGCAUAGAUAUCACGAAGAACCCCGAUUGCGAAGGCAGCAUACUAGCGUGUGACUGACAUUGAUGCACGAAAGUGUGGGUAUCAAACAGGAUUAGAUACCCCGGUAGUC